This 91-nucleotide transfer RNA is filed under the name Candidatus Nitrosopumilus sp. RNAcentral's name for it is "Nitrosopumilus sp. tRNA-Met". RNAcentral also lists the same sequence under 2 other names. Lineage: Archaea; Thermoproteati; Nitrososphaerota; Nitrososphaeria; Nitrosopumilales; Nitrosopumilaceae. The record is from RNAcentral.
AGCGGGGUGGGGAAGUCAGACUGCUUUAGGGCGAAGUCAUCCCGGCGGGCUCAUAACCCGCAGCUCAGUAGUUCAAAUCUACUCCCCGCUA